RNAcentral lists this microRNA precursor (78 nucleotides) under Cricetulus griseus (Chinese hamster). RNAcentral describes it as "miRNA (ENSCGRG00001004543.1)". The record is from RNAcentral. Lineage: Eukaryota; Metazoa; Chordata; Mammalia; Rodentia; Cricetidae.
CCUGGAACUCACUUUGUAGACCAGGCUGGCCUCCAACUCACAGAGAUCCGCCUGCCUCUGCCUCCAGAGUGCUAGGAU